Zootermopsis nevadensis is the source of this 882-nucleotide non-coding RNA. NCBI's taxonomy places the organism in Eukaryota, Metazoa, Arthropoda, Insecta, Blattodea, Termopsidae. The record is from RefSeq and is a predicted model, not a curated record.
CAUGAUGGAUCUUCUGUCUGACCACAAAAGCAGCGAUAUCUCUGAGGCGUAUCAUUCUGAUCAUAAUCAUGGCGACACUUGGGACUAGAAUAAUAACAUUCACAUUAACAAUUGUUAACAUUUUAGAUAAACCAUAAAAAUAGCAGCUGGGAAGACAGAAGAUUAUGAACUGAAUAGAAGUAAGAAUUUUAAGAAACCACAAGUCUUACCAUGCCCAUUUAAAACUGACAACUGCAAAUCCCCGUGGCUGAUCCUCAAGAGCUUGUUUCUGAUGUGCUACACUGUCCUUUGCCCAACGCUGAACACAGAUCCAAUACAAAUAAGGCAAGAGGCGGCACCAGACUGAAAAGCAUCCUCUAAGAAACGCUGUGUUCUUCCUAAGUCUUCAAUCUUUCCUCCAAUUUGUGAAUAGAGUUGCAGUACAGAUCCUGAAAGCACACUAUGAAUGGUAAUAUGGCUACAAGUAGAAUAAAACUACAUAAUAACAACCUUCCCCUCAAAAUGAAAUGUUUAUCCACUAGCAGUAAACAAUUUAAAAUGGCAGUAAAAGAAUUCAUUUUAAUCAAACUUACUUUCUUCUCUGUGCAUGUAUUUAUAUUGUUAAUAAAUGGUGGGUAUUAAUACAGUUUUGGAAAUGGGCAUGUUUUCUCUGGUUGAAAUUGUGUAUGACUCUAAAUGGAAUGUAGAACUCAUGAGCAACUGUUGAUGGUGAAAGUGUGUGUAAUCUGAUCUAUCUGAAGAAGUACUUUCUUUCUGGCAAAUGUUCUACAACUGUAUUGUAUUUAUAGAUAUUUUCUGAAUGUGAAAUCUUGUUCUCUGACUUGCUCUACACCCUGCUUUUUUAGGACCAAUGGAAUACAUUUAUAACUAUCUAUCCAUGAA